GCUCAUAUCGAUUAAUGUUUUCAUUGAUUAUUAAUAGGCUAAUAAAAUAAUAAUAUUCUCAUAAAUGAUUUAUAUGCUCAUAAAUAAUAAAUUAAUAAUAUGCUCAUAAAUAAUUAAUGGUUAAUAUGCUCAUAAAUGAUUAACUUGUUCAUAAAUUAUUAUUAUUAUUAAUAUUUUGAAGAAUAUGCGAACGAUAAAUUGAAAAUAUAUAAAUACCAUUGCUAUAUUGUUAUGAAUGAUACUUCGCAAAAUAAUGCAUGGCAUUACAAUCGUUCUGUAGUUCACUGAAAUAAGGUAAUUAUUUACAACCAUGUAAGUAGAAAUUUUGCUUGAAAAAAACAGAAACAAAUAAGUCUCGUUCUGAGAAAACUGGGCAUAAUGCAUGUGCUUAAAGUGAUGUCCCAGAUUAGCCUGUGCAGUUUGCACAGGCUUAACAGGGAUGACACUAUUUCAGCUUUUAUGGUAGUUUUGGUUGAAAGAAAGUCUCUUCUACAUGAAAAUCCAGUUAAGGCGGUAAGUGUCAUCCCUGAUUAGCCUGUGCAGACUGCACAGUCUAAUCUGGGACGACACUUUACGCACAUGCAUUAGGCCCAGUUUUAUCAGAACAAGACACAAAAGUAUUCAUUGGUAACUGUGCGUUGUGACUGCUUCAGGAGAAUUAUACGAUGCAGGGUUACACUGCAGCCUAUGACUCAGUGCGGAAUGGCCACUCAUGGGGUGUAAUUCAUCUCAAGGCAAACUUUACUCAGGAUCUCAUUGAAAGGCGGUGUCGAAAUGGGUCUUGAGCUCUGCCUUAACUGUCGUCCAAUUGGUUUACAAGUCCGACUGAAGUGACAGGCCAUCAAAAACUGUACAGCAUGACUGAUUUGGAGACAGCCCUCAACACUCGCCCAGUCGUGUCGAGAGGAUCGGUGUAUUUGCAGAUUACAUGGAAUUGAGCACCCGAGCCAGACUGACACUUUUCGGAGCCUGUCCGAGAUGGAACUCGAGCAGAGGAAUCAUAGGUCCAGGUGUGACAAAAGACUUAAAGCUCAUGUCUGACGGUGACUUUUUUAAGUCAGGAAGUCAAGUGUGUUGUUUUUUCAUGCAAGCAAGCCGUUUUGUUGGGUCAAAUGACAUUAGAAAUGCUGCUUCUACCUUUUACCUAAAAUGUGCCAAUUUUUUUUUAAAAAGUUUGUUCGAAUCCGGUUCAAAACCUGCUUUGAUGCACAAAUAUUGCCAUUGAUGAUUUUUUUCACUUAUUAAGUCAUAUGUCACAUCAGCUUUGCCUAUUAGAAUCAAAAGUGAUGCCUUGUGAAUGAAAUCUCCAGUUGUAAAGACACACCUCCGCAUUGGACCAAUUAAAUCACUCAUUUGUUUAAAAUGUCAGUUAGUUGAAAUUUAUGUAAACAAAGGUUUUGAACGGCGCUGGACAGUUAGUCUUGAUGCAUAAUGUAAUGACAAGAACGGUAAUAAUAUUUUUUCAUACGUUUUAUUGAAUUAUGGUACAUGAACUUUGUAGGGAAGAUGCCCUUUACUCCGAGAAGAUUUCAGUCUUAAAGACUGCAUGAUCAUUGUCAACUGGGUCAUGCGAGUUGUGUGUCGUGUUAUUUCUUAAAAGUUGACCCAGCAUUUGUAAAAAUAUUGCAAGACAUAUACAUCUCCAGAAAGGAAAUUCAUUUCUGCAUUGAAUAAGACCGAGAUCGUGAAAAUCGCUGGACGGUCGGGCCACUCCCGUAUUUUCUCCUAUUUCUUUGUUAAAAAUGUUGAAUAAACCAAACUCUCUGAAAACCGGAAAACGUACGGGUAUCUCCGUAAAUUUGGUCAUUUUCAACGUAAAAAACAUUGAGUAUACCGGACGGUCUAAAUUCUCAAGAUGCCCGAGGCGUGAAAAUAACAAUACCUAGUCAGCACAGCGAGUGCGGUGUCACACAUUUUGCUCGCGCAAUUAUCGAUAAUCGGAUUAAACAUGAAGUUUCAUAGGAUGUCUUAUCAGAUUUUAGUGAUACUCACAUAUAAAUUUGUAAAUUAUCUGUUGAUGAGUUCAAUUAAAAAAAAAUCCUAUAUAUAAUAUGUGUGUAUAUAUAUAUGUAAUCUCUCAUGCUGUUUUAAAUUUGUCAACUGGAGCUCAUAACCUUAGUAUCUGGGUGUCUAGUUGAUUUUAUAGUGUAUAUAUAUAUAUAAAUGUUAUCUCUCAUGCUGUUUAGAAACUACAUGUGUUUUAAUUCGUCAACUGGAGCUCAUAACCUAUCUGGUUGUUAAGUUGAUUUUAUUUUAUGCUAUGCUUAUGUUGUUGUUUUUUUGGUUUUUUUUAGUUAAUUUUUAUUAUUUUUCUAUUUCUCUAUGUAUAAAGUAUUAAAUACCUAUGUUUUAGAUAAAGAGCUGUCUCUUAUAACUCUGUACUGAGUGGCAAUACACUUGUAAUCUAUGAAUAACUUGUAUAUGUAUAAAGCUGUCAAAUAUGUGUAUUGAAGAGACGUUAAUAAACUAAUAAACUACCAUAAAGGUGUCAAGUCGUUACCGCGCUAUGGGAGUCUGAUUAAGUAAUGUAAAACAAAUUGUGAAUGUCUAUAAUAGACAUGCAGUAACACCAAAAAGUGAUUGACUUGAACGUUUUAUUAAUUAUUUAUUAUCGCCUAUGAUAAACAAUUUAAUUAAAAAAUUAAUGCAUGCCGUUGCGACAAUCACUUUCUUGUGAUCUUCUCAGGUAUUUUAAAAGAUCUUAUAGCCAUGUUUUUAACGCUGAAAUGGUUGUUUGUUUGUUAGUCAGAUAAACUGUUAGAAAUAUGACUGUAAAAUAUCCAUCCAUCUGUAUGCAAAUUCAUUCAUUGCCGUUUACUAAUUUCGAA
Dreissena polymorpha is the source of this 2828-nucleotide long non-coding RNA. RefSeq lists it as uncharacterized. The record is from RefSeq and is a predicted model, not a curated record. Lineage: Eukaryota; Metazoa; Mollusca; Bivalvia; Myida; Dreissenidae. The transcript is spliced from 3 exons.